AGACGGAGGGGGCUAGCGUUGUUCGGAAUUACUGGGCGUAAAGCGCGCGUAGGCGGUCCGUUUAGUUAGGCGUGAAAGGCCUGGGCUCAACCCGGGAACUGCGCUUAUUACUGAUAAACUAGAGUCCGGGAGAGGGUGGCGGAAUUCCCAGUGUAGAGGUGAAAUUCGUAGAUAUUGGGAAGAACACCAGUUGCGAAGGCGGCCACCUGGACCGGUACUGACGCUGAGGUGCGAAAGCGUGGGGAGCAAACAGGAUUAGAUACCCCAGUAGUCC
Molecule: ribosomal RNA, 274 nt
Filed under: uncultured bacterium
Lineage: Bacteria
Description: partial 16S ribosomal RNA
Rfam family: Bacterial small subunit ribosomal RNA
Source: RNAcentral